RNA transcript from Vitis riparia (riverbank grape), 1715 nucleotides. It is a transcript of the gene named probable WRKY transcription factor 57, with no coding region annotated. The transcript is spliced from 5 exons. The record is from RefSeq and is a predicted model, not a curated record. Lineage: Eukaryota; Viridiplantae; Streptophyta; Magnoliopsida; Vitales; Vitaceae.
UAUUAUUCCUCUUUAGAGUGUAUUUCUUUCUCUCUCUAUAUCUACAGGACAAAGCCUUCAAGGCUGUUGAAAAAAGUUCUAUAUCCUACGCGUCCUCUCCAAAAACCCUAGCUUUGCUUCUCUCUCCGCGUGCUCGCCGUGAAUUCUCUUUCAAUUCUCGCUGGAAUUGGAGAAUCCUCUCCAAUUCUCCAUGCCUCCGCUGUAGAUCGUCGCAGGAGCCAUGGACGAUAACGACAAUCCCGAUCCGGGAAACGACUUCUCCGGAGACUCGAGCUGGACACUGGGAGCUGAGUCCGACAGUGUCUACUUCUUCGGCAGUGAUAGGGAGAGCAGUAUUCUGAGCGAGUUUGGGUGGAAUCUGCAGCCGGAGGAGGCUCACCACCGGAGUCUCAAGCCGGAGAGGUUCGGCGACGUGGAGCGGAUCGAGAGUUCAGAUUUGGCGGGAAGGUUGCCGUUGGCAGAGAGCAGCGGUUUGGAGUGUUCAGCCGCGGCAGCGCAAAUCGGAUCGGCGGAGAAAGCUGGUGACGCGUCGACGUCGAAUCCGUCUGUGUCUUCGAGCUCCAGCGAGGAUCCGCCGGAGAAGUCGACGGGGUCCGGCGGCGGGAAGCCUCCUGAAAUACCGAGUAAGGGGCGGAAGAAGGGGCAAAAGCGAAUUAGGCAGCCGCGCUUUGCGUUUAUGACCAAGAGUGAAGUUGAUCAUCUUGAAGACGGUUAUCGCUGGCGGAAGUAUGGACAAAAGGCUGUUAAAAAUAGUCCUUUUCCUAGGAGCUAUUACCGGUGCACAAACAGCAAAUGCACGGUGAAGAAAAGAGUUGAACGCUCCUCGGAGGAUCCCAGCAUCGUAAUCACUACAUAUGAAGGCCAACACUGUCAUCAUACAGUUGGAUUCCCCCGCGGUGGAGUCAUUAGUCAAGAGGUUACCUUUGAUGGCCGUAUGACCCCUCCAUUAACAUCACACUUUUAUUAUCCAGAUAUGUCGUUCCACCGUGAAGGUUCUCAUAGUGGUAGCAUGGCACAGUCACACCAAGUCCCAGCCCAAGCUAGAGAAGCACGCGCACUGGCUGAGCCAAGCCCACAGCUUCCCACUGAUGAAGGACUGCUUGGGGACAUGGUGCCUCCUGGAAUGCGCAAUGGAUGAAGAGAAAAAGACGCUUCUGCAUGUGUGGACAACACUGACUAGUCUCAAAUUGUGGUGAGAUGCCCUUGACAUGUAACCCCACUGGCGAUCACCCCACUUGCAUGAAUGGCCAUGCAGUAGUGCCGAGACUAGAGCCUAUGGAUUCAACUCUGUACGGAACAUUUUGUAAGGAAGCCAUGAAGCCAUCCCAAGCCAGAAGUGAUCCCUUUUUACUCCAUAUCACAUACACCUAUAUGUACCAAGCAUUGAGCACAAGGUCGACACUUUCAUUGCUUGGAUACAUACAUCUCAAACAAUCAUUUUGUACGAGGAUUAAUAUAUAUAUAUAUAUAUAUAUAUAUAUAUAUAUGUAUGUAAAUAUAUACGUAGUAACAUAUAUAGUUAUCGUCCAUCGCCUUUACCACUGCGGAUCCUUAUUUCGUUUCACCUUUAGGUUGGCUGGCAGCUCCAACUUUAGAAACAGUAGAACGAUCGGUCUUUGAUUGAUUCCUUCACCAUAUUGUUGUUAAUUGACUUUCCUAUGAUUAACUUUGUAGAAGACCCAGAAUUCAGAACACUACUUCUCUCUUCUUCUUCU